RNAcentral lists this non-coding RNA (28 nucleotides) under Cricetulus griseus (Chinese hamster). Lineage: Eukaryota; Metazoa; Chordata; Mammalia; Rodentia; Cricetidae. The record is from RNAcentral.
UAGAGAGCCUGAGGCAGGUGGGUUGACA